GCCCGGGUGACGAAAUCGGUAGACGUACGGGACUUAAAAUCCCGAGCCGCAAGGCGUGCGGGUUCAAGUCCCGCCCCGGGCACCA
This 85-nucleotide transfer RNA is filed under the name Betaproteobacteria bacterium. Its description in RNAcentral is "tRNA-Leu". It matches the Rfam family "tRNA". Rfam says of the family: Transfer RNA (tRNA) molecules are approximately 80 nucleotides in length. Their secondary structure includes four short double-helical elements and three loops (D, anti-codon, and T loops). Further hydrogen bonds mediate the characteristic L-shaped molecular structure. tRNAs have two regions of fundamental functional importance: the anti-codon, which is responsible for specific mRNA codon recognition, and the 3' end, to which the tRNAs corresponding amino acid is attached (by aminoacyl-tRNA synthetases). tRNAs cope with the degeneracy of the genetic code in two manners: having more than one tRNA (with a specific anti-codon) for a particular amino acid; and 'wobble' base-pairing, i.e. permitting non-standard base-pairing at the 3rd anti-codon position. The record is from RNAcentral. Lineage: Bacteria; Pseudomonadati; Pseudomonadota; Betaproteobacteria.